RNAcentral lists this ribosomal RNA (318 nucleotides) under uncultured eukaryote. RNAcentral describes it as "partial 18S ribosomal RNA". It matches the Rfam family "Eukaryotic small subunit ribosomal RNA", at positions 1470 to 1796 of the family's 1831-position model. The record is from RNAcentral.
CCCUUAGAUGUCCUGGGCCGCACGCGUGCUACACUGACGCAUACAGCGAGCACUUUCCAGUUCCGAGAGGCUACUGGUAAUCAUCAAUAUGCGUCGUGAUGGGGAUAGAUCUUUGGAAUUCUGGAUCUUGAACGAGGAAUGCCUAGUAAUCGCAGGUCAUUAGCCUGCGAUGAUUAAGUCCCUGCCCUUUGUACACACCGCCCGUCGCUACUACCGAUUUCAAGUGGUCAGGUGAAUCUUUCGGACUGUGGGCGCCCUUGAGGUGUUCGCGGAAAGUCAGGUAAAUCUUAUCACUUAGAGGAAGUAAAAGUCGUANCA